This 253-nucleotide ribosomal RNA is filed under the name uncultured bacterium. Its description in RNAcentral is "partial 16S ribosomal RNA". It matches the Rfam family "Bacterial small subunit ribosomal RNA", at positions 524 to 776 of the family's 1533-position model. The record is from RNAcentral.
UACGUAGGCAGCGAGCGUUGUUCGGAAUUACUGGGCGUAAAGAGCUCGUAGGUGGUUUGUCGCGUUGUUCGUGAAAACUCACAGCUUAACUGUGGGCGUGCGGGCGAUACGGGCAGACUGGAGUACUGCAGGGGAGACUGGAAUUCCUGGUGUAGCGGUGGAAUGCGCAGAUAUCAGGAGGAACACCGGUGGCGAAGGCGGGUCUCUGGGCAGUAACUGACGCUGAGGAGCGAAAGCGUGGGGAGCGAACAGG